UCUGGGUGGAGAUGACCUCCAUCCUUGUAGGAAGAGGAUGCUUGAGGAGCGAGCACUGCAGCUUUUGAAAGGUAAUGUUAUAUUACUCAGUCUGGAAGUCAGGGAAGGAGAAGCAAAGACAUCUGCAAAACCGAACUGCUGUCCUCGAAGGCAAAUGUUUAUUUCUCCCUUUCCUGUUGGAGAACAAUUUCUGCCUGGUCAGAAGUAGAUGCCAAAAUUAGCAAUGCAUGUGUAGGGAGUACCAGCCUGCGCCGACAGGACCCUGCUGUCGAGAACCAAGAGCUGCUUCCACUAGUGCUGCUUCUCCAGUGUCCUCCCAGCAGGAAUAUAAAGCCCAUGGGU
Long non-coding RNA from Gymnogyps californianus (California condor), 342 nucleotides. RefSeq lists it as uncharacterized. The transcript is spliced from 3 exons. The record is from RefSeq and is a predicted model, not a curated record. Lineage: Eukaryota; Metazoa; Chordata; Aves; Accipitriformes; Cathartidae.